Molecule: ribosomal RNA, 497 nt
Filed under: uncultured bacterium
Lineage: Bacteria
Description: partial 16S ribosomal RNA
Rfam family: Bacterial small subunit ribosomal RNA
Source: RNAcentral
GACGAACGCUGGCGGCGUGCCUAACACAUGCAAGUCGAGCGAACAGACGAGGAGUUUGCUCCUCUGACGUUUGCGGAGGACGGGAGAGUAACAUGUGGAUAACCUACCUAUCAGACUGGGAUCAUCUGGGGAAACCGGAGCUUAUACCGGAUAAUAUACUGAACCGUAUGGGUCAAUAGUGAAAGUCGGCUUUGGUGUCUCUACUAGAUGGAUCCGGGCCGCUUUAGCUAGUUGGUAAGGUACAGGCUUACCAAGGGAAGGAUGCGUAGCCGACCGGAGAGAGGGGUAGGCCACCUUGGAAGGGAGACGCGGUCCUGACUCCUACGAUAGGCAGCAGUAGGGAAUCGUCCGCAGUGGGCGAGAGCUUUACAGAGCAACGCCGCGUGAGUGAUGAAGGUCUUCCGAGCGUAAAGCUGUGUUAUGAGUUGUGAACAAAUGUGUAAUUAACUGUGCACGUCUUGACGGUACCUGGUCAAGAAGCCACGGCUAACUACGUG